UACGUAGGGGGCAAGCGUUGUCCGGAAUUAUUGGGCGUAAAGAGCGUGUAGGCGGUCCGGUAAGUCGGCUGUGAAAGUCCAGGGCUCAACCUCGAGCUGUCGGCGGAAACCCUCUGGCUAGAGUCCGGAAGAGGAGAGUGGAAUUCCCGGUGUAGCGGUGAAAUGCGCAGAUAUCGGGAAGAACACCCGUGGCGAAGGCGGCUCUCUGGGACGGUACUGACGCUGAGACGCGAAAGCGUGGGGAGCGAACAGG
Molecule: ribosomal RNA, 253 nt
Filed under: uncultured bacterium
Lineage: Bacteria
Description: partial 16S ribosomal RNA
Rfam family: Bacterial small subunit ribosomal RNA
Source: RNAcentral